RNAcentral lists this ribosomal RNA (447 nucleotides) under uncultured bacterium. Its description in RNAcentral is "bacterial SSU rRNA". It matches the Rfam family "Bacterial small subunit ribosomal RNA", at positions 330 to 793 of the family's 1533-position model. The record is from RNAcentral.
CCCAGACUCCUACGGGAGGCAGCAGUGGGGGAUAUUGCACAAUGGGGGGAACCCUGAUGCAGCGACGCCGCGUGGGUGAAGGAGUGCUUCGGCAUGUAAAGCCCUAUCGGCAGGGAAGAAGCAAGACGGUACCUGACUAAGAAGCCCCGGCUAACUACGUGCCAGCAGCCGCGGUAAUACGUAGGGGGCAAGCGUUAUCCGGAUUUACUGGGUGUAAAGGGGGCGCAGACGGCGAUGCAAGCCAGGAGUGAAAGCCCGGGGCCCAACCCCGGGACUGCUCUUGGAACUGCGUGGCUGGAGUGCAGGAGGGGCAGGCGGAAUUCCUAGUGUAGCGGUGAAAUGCGUAGAUAUUAGGAGGAACACCAGUGGCGAAGGCGGCCUACUGGACGGUGACUGACGCUGAGGCUCGAAAGCGUGGGGAGCAAACAGGAUUAGAUACCCCUGUAC